UGGACUUCCGGAGUGCUGUGCUGUUCUGGGGUUCUGGGGAGGGUGUGGCUGGUCAGAGGUUACAGUCACACCGAAAAUUAAACGCUGUCACCUCCAGUUAUGAGCCGCGCUUUUUGUCAGUGUUUUCAGGCCACAGCUGAUAGUGGGUGAGUGGAGUCACAGAACACAAACCUGCAGAUUCUGUUACUCUUGUACGGGGGACCCUACAGGAUGUUGUACAUUGCAGAAAAUCCAGCACACUGGCACCCCUUACAGAAGAAACUGGAAAUGGCUGUGCAGCGAUCUCAACGGCCAAGGUUACCCAAGAAGCAGUUUGCUGUACUCAUAAAUGUCUGGAAGCUGAUGGCCACCACUUUGCACACCUCUUGUAAUUGUAGAGGCAAAAGGCGAGAGCCUGUUGCUCUUUUGCUGAGCAAAUCACCUUGACGCAGCAAAAUGUCAUCAUCCAAAAGCAG
RNAcentral lists this long non-coding RNA (455 nucleotides) under Chinchilla lanigera (long-tailed chinchilla). RNAcentral's name for it is "lncRNA (ENSCLAG00000023464.1)". The record is from RNAcentral. Lineage: Eukaryota; Metazoa; Chordata; Mammalia; Rodentia; Chinchillidae.